Molecule: small RNA, 125 nt
Filed under: Marmota monax (woodchuck)
Lineage: Eukaryota; Metazoa; Chordata; Mammalia; Rodentia; Sciuridae
Source: RNAcentral
GCCGGGUGUGGUGACACACACCUGUAAUCCCAGCAGUUCAGGAGGCUGAGACAGGAGGAUCACGAGUUCAAAGCCAACUUCAGCAACAGUGAGGCCCUAAGCAACUCAGGGAGACCCUGUCGCUA